UAUUUCUAGUGAUUGGAAUGAUGGGAAUUUAAACCCCUUUCAGAGUAACAAUUGGAGGGCAAGUCUGGUGCCAGCAGCCGCGGUAAUUCCAGCUCCAAUAGCGUAUAUKAAAGUUGUUGCAGUUAAAAAGCUCGUAGUUGGAUGUCUGCUGGAAGCAAUCAGUCCGCCCUAUUUGUAGGGUGUGCACUUGAUGAAUUCUGGCAUUUUUGUCCCAAUGAUGUAACGGGGCGGUGGUASUCGGUGAAAGCCGAGUAUCCUGUUUUCCGAUUAUUGGGAUACUGUUACUUUGAGAAAAUUAGAGUGUUUGAAGCAGGCUAAUUGCCUUGAAUACUGCAGCAUGGAAUAACAAUAUAGGAUUUCGGUUCUAUUUUGUUGGUUUCUAGGACUGAAAUAAUGAUUAAUAGGGACAGUUGGGGGCAUUCGUAUUUAACUGUCAGAGGUGAAAUUCUUAGAUUUGUUAAAGACGAACUACUGCGAAAGCAUUUGCCAAAGAUGUUUUCAUUAAUCAAGAACGAAAGUUAGGGGCUCGAAGACGAUCAGAUACCGUCGUAGUCUUAACCAUAAACUAUGCCGACUAGAGAUAGGAAAAUGUCAUUUUGCUGACUUCUCCUGCACCUUA
RNAcentral lists this ribosomal RNA (619 nucleotides) under Sarcocystis sp. Fu 12-93. Its description in RNAcentral is "SSU rRNA". It matches the Rfam family "Eukaryotic small subunit ribosomal RNA", at positions 499 to 1101 of the family's 1831-position model. The record is from RNAcentral. Lineage: Eukaryota; Apicomplexa; Conoidasida; Eucoccidiorida; Sarcocystidae.